This 210-nucleotide long non-coding RNA is filed under the name Brassica napus (rape). RNAcentral's name for it is "long non-coding RNA (BNAP_LNC014251)". Lineage: Eukaryota; Viridiplantae; Streptophyta; Magnoliopsida; Brassicales; Brassicaceae. The record is from RNAcentral.
GAGGAGUGGUGAGUUGCUACUUAUAAGGAUAUGAGGGUGACAUGGAUUUCCGCAAUAAAUAUUCUUAGCCAAAGAUUUCGAUUUCUAACUCACAUCAUUCGCACGCAAAAUCGUCUCCGAGUCUUACGGGCUGGGUGGCUACCUGUUGGGUUCAAAAAUGGUUAUUUCGAAAUAAACGGCUAUGAUUAUUUCUUAUUCACGGAUUUUUCG